UACGUAGGGUGCAAGCGUUAAUCGGAAUUACUGGGCGUAAAGCGUGCGCAGGCGGUUUUGUAAGUCAGAUGUGAAAUCCCCGGGCUUAGCCUGGGAACUGCGUUUGAAACUACAAGGCUAGAGUGUGGCAGAGGGGGGUGGAAUUCCACGUGUAGCAGUGAAAUGCGUAGAGAUGUGGAGGAACACCGAUGGCGAAGGCAGCCCCCUGGGUUAACACUGACGCUCAGGCACGAAAGCGUGGGGAGCAAACAGG
This 253-nucleotide ribosomal RNA is filed under the name uncultured bacterium. RNAcentral describes it as "partial 16S ribosomal RNA". It matches the Rfam family "Bacterial small subunit ribosomal RNA", at positions 524 to 776 of the family's 1533-position model. The record is from RNAcentral.